GGACUGAGGCUCACUGGUAGAGCAUCUGCUUUGAAUGCAGAAGGCCCCAGGUUUAAUCCCUGCAGUCCC
Podarcis lilfordi (Lilford's wall lizard) is the source of this 69-nucleotide non-coding RNA. The record is from the annotation of a GenBank genome assembly. NCBI's taxonomy places the organism in Eukaryota, Metazoa, Chordata, Lepidosauria, Squamata, Lacertidae.